CCGGCGAAUUUAAGCAUAUUACUAACCGGAGGAAAAGAAACCAACAGGGACGUCCUCAGUAGCGGCGAGCGAAGCGGACGAUGCCCAAACCGAACCGCGGUUCCCGAGGGGGCCGCGGAGUGUGGAGAGGAUGAGCUCGCGAGGGGGCGGGACGGGUUCCAAUCCGUCUGGAAGGGCGGAGGCACGGAGGGCGAUUCCCCGUACGUGCUCGGUCCGUCCCCGACGAGCGAACGCAUCGGAGAGUCGGGCCGCUUGAGAGUGCAGCCCGAAUGGGGUGAUAGGUCUCAUCCAAGGCUAAGUACGUGGGAGACGCCGAUAGCGAACAAGUACGGCGACGGAAAGGUGAAAAGAACCUCGAAAGGGGGGUCAAAAGCGCUCGAAAUCGUAGAGGGGGAAGCGGACCUGACCGACGAGACCUCGUCGUCGCUCGCGCUCGACCACGCUCGUC
RNAcentral lists this ribosomal RNA (448 nucleotides) under uncultured eukaryote. RNAcentral's name for it is "eukaryotic LSU rRNA". It matches the Rfam family "Eukaryotic large subunit ribosomal RNA", at positions 25 to 470 of the family's 3401-position model. The record is from RNAcentral.